GACGAACGCUGGCGGCGUGCUUAACACAUGCAAGUCGAACGGCAAGGCCCUCCUUUUGUUGGCUGCUCGAGUCGCGAACGUGUGUGUAACACGUGAGUAUCCUGCCCUUUACUUUGUGAUAACUUCAGGACCCUGGUGCUAAUACCUGCUAGCAGCUCCUGCUGCAUGGUGGGGGUUGGAACUUUUCGGCGGUUGGGGAUGGACUCCCGGCUUAUCAGCUUGUUGGUGGGGUAGUUGCUUACCAAGGCUUUGAAGGAUAGCCGGCAUGGGAGGGUGAACGGCGACAUGGGGACUGAGAGACGGCGCAGAGGGCAACGGGAGGCAGCAGGGGGGAAUAUUGCACAAUGGGCGGAAGCGUGAUGAAGAGACGCCGCGGGCGGGAUGACGGCCUUCGGGUUAUAAACCGCUUUGGCCUGAGACGAAGCGUGAGUGACGGUAAUGGGUAAAGAAGCACCGGCUAACUACGUG
This 468-nucleotide ribosomal RNA is filed under the name uncultured bacterium. RNAcentral's name for it is "partial 16S ribosomal RNA". It matches the Rfam family "Bacterial small subunit ribosomal RNA", at positions 28 to 507 of the family's 1533-position model. The record is from RNAcentral.